UACGUAGGGAGCAAGCGUUGUCCGGAAUUACUGGGUGUAAAGGGAGCGUAGGCGGGAUGGCAAGUUGGGUGUUAAAUCUACCGGCUCAACUGGUAGUCGCACUCAAAACUGCUAUUCUUGAGUGAAGUAGGGGCAGGCGGAAUUCCUAGUGUAGCGGUGAAAUGCGUAGAUAUUAGGAGGAACACCAGUGGCGAAGGCGGCCUGCUGGGCUUUCACUGACACUGAGGCUCGAAAGUGUGGGGAGCAAACAGG
This 252-nucleotide ribosomal RNA is filed under the name uncultured bacterium. RNAcentral describes it as "partial 16S ribosomal RNA". It matches the Rfam family "Bacterial small subunit ribosomal RNA", at positions 524 to 776 of the family's 1533-position model. The record is from RNAcentral.